AUUCAAUGAGAAACAAUAUUCAGGUCAGGUCAAAGCCUAGAGAAAAAUGCGCAUUCAGAAGUGGGCUGCCAUCCUGCUUUUUCUGAAGUGAACAGCUGCUGGGUAUUGAAACCAGCCCUCACGGUUGGGUCCCUGCCACCAUGGCAACACUCUGGUUUCUGAGCUGGAGUGGCCAAGGCACAAUGGGGUGGUUCCAUGGCCCAGAAGCACUCUAGCUACAGAUUAGAAUGAUGACAAGAGUAAUACCUUCCUAGUGAAGAUGACUUUUAUUUCAGGACUAUAUUAAGUUUCCCAACUUCUGUCAUGAUAUAGUCCAAAGAGAACCUGGACCACGCAGACAUCAAACAGAACAUGACACUGACCCAUUCUAUCAGUGACGUUGUGCUGAUUGCACAGGACAGAUGAGAGGCUCGUAUACUAGAAGUCUUGAUAACUUGUUUUCUAGUUUCACAUGUCCACAGAUGAAGAAAAAUUGUGCCCCAGCAAGGAUUAUACCCAGAGCCUCAUCCAUUCAUACCUGAUUUAGAUACUUAGAUGAUGAGUAAUAGAAAAGCAUCAUCUUUAUGUAAAUCACUGUACUUGGCUUCGUGAGAAAUAUAAAAAUGAAUUGCUUCAAUCCCUGGACUCAAGGAUCCUG
RNAcentral lists this long non-coding RNA (637 nucleotides) under Homo sapiens (human). Its description in RNAcentral is "HSALNT0302903". The record is from RNAcentral. Lineage: Eukaryota; Metazoa; Chordata; Mammalia; Primates; Hominidae.